UGCGCAGGUGGCCAAGUGUGUUAGGCGUGAAAGCCCGGGGCUUAACCCCGGAAUUGCACCUAAAACUACUUGGCUAGAGCAUUGGAGAGGGGAGCAGAAUUCACGGUGUAGCAGUGAAAUGCGUAGAUAUCGUGAGGAAUACCAGAGGCGAAGGCGGCUCCCUGGACAAUUGCUGACACUCAGGCACGAAAGCGUGGGGAGCAAAAGGGAUUAGAUACCCCUGUAGUCCACGCCCUAAACGGUGCACACUAGGUCUUGGCGGAUUCGACCCCACCAGGGCCCAAGCUAACGCGUUAAGUGUGCCGCCUGAGGACUACGGCCGCAAGGCUAAA
RNAcentral lists this ribosomal RNA (332 nucleotides) under uncultured Verrucomicrobiota bacterium. Its description in RNAcentral is "bacterial SSU rRNA". It matches the Rfam family "Bacterial small subunit ribosomal RNA", at positions 568 to 898 of the family's 1533-position model. The record is from RNAcentral. Lineage: Bacteria; Pseudomonadati; Verrucomicrobiota.